CUCUUGGUCAAAUGGCACAGCCUGACCUCUAGCCUGGUCCCAUCAGGUCUGGCAUCUGUGCCAGCAGCUGCAUCUGUAGCCAGGAGCUACAGGGUGGAGGAGCCCGAGACAUUAGUGGAACUUCAAAGGAAUGAGUGGGAUCCAAUCAUCAAAUGGGCUGAGAAAAGAUACGGCGUGGAGAUCAGCUCCUCCACCAGCAUAAUGGGACCCAGCAUCCCUGCCAAGACUCGGGAGGUGCUCGUCAGCCACCUGGCAUCUUACAACACAUGGGCUUUACAAGGUCCUGUGAGUGGAGAGGCAUGGGGUGUUCUGGGCUAGCUGAGUGUGGAGGCUGGGUGGCUCUGAUGCUAGCCAGUCACUACGCUCUAGGCUCAUGCCUUUCUACCUUUGACUUCUCCAGCAGAAGUCUUGAGUUCAAUCUCAUUGCCCUGGCUUGGGUCACAUGUCUAUCCAUGAACCAAUCACUAGACUGGGUGGGGAAAGCUCUGAUUUGCCAAGUUCAGGUCAUGUGUCUCACUGGGGAUUGAGUUUGUAGCUGCCCAGCUCAAGUCCAUGGUGCUGACCUUGGGCCUGAUUGACCUGCGCCUGACAGUGGAGCAGGCCGUGCUGCUGUCACGCCUGGAGGAGGAGUACCAGAUCCAGAAGUGGGGCAACAUUGAGUGGGCCCAUGACUAU
RNAcentral lists this small RNA (675 nucleotides) under Pongo abelii (Sumatran orangutan). Its description in RNAcentral is "processed transcript". Lineage: Eukaryota; Metazoa; Chordata; Mammalia; Primates; Hominidae. The record is from RNAcentral.